RNAcentral lists this ribosomal RNA (219 nucleotides) under uncultured bacterium. RNAcentral describes it as "partial 16S ribosomal RNA". It matches the Rfam family "Bacterial small subunit ribosomal RNA", at positions 116 to 334 of the family's 1533-position model. The record is from RNAcentral.
CGUAGACAACCUGCCUUUCAGUGGGGGAUAACUGUGGGAAACUGCAGCUAAUACCGCAUAGGGCGGAAGAGGGCUUCCUCUUCAUGCUAAAGGAGCAAUUCGCUGGGAGAUGGGUCUGCGGCCUAUCAGCUAGCUGGUGAGGUAACGGCUCACCAGGGCGACGACGGGUAGCUGGUCUGAGAGGAUGAUCAGCCGGACGGGGACUGAGACACGGCCCCG